RNAcentral lists this long non-coding RNA (282 nucleotides) under Durio zibethinus. Its description in RNAcentral is "long non-coding RNA (DZIB_LNC001700)". The record is from RNAcentral. Lineage: Eukaryota; Viridiplantae; Streptophyta; Magnoliopsida; Malvales; Malvaceae.
AAUAUUAAAACAAUGCACUGGCAUAUCUUUAACAUCUAAUCUAAUAUGUCGAAUAUUUGUAUUGUCAUCAAUCCAGAUCAUUAUGGCUAAAGUAGCUAAUGUAUUAGCAAUUUAAUUCUCUUCUCAAAGUAAAUGGUUAAACUAGAUUGCUUUAAAUUGUUUAAUUAGCUCUUAGAUGUAUUUAUGAUAAGGGAUGAGCUUCGAGUCUCUUAUCUUCAUUCUCUCUUUAACUAAUAAAUGAUCAAAGUUGAAUCGCUAUACACCUUCAAUACUUUAAUCUUU